Molecule: ribosomal RNA, 509 nt
Filed under: uncultured bacterium
Lineage: Bacteria
Description: bacterial SSU rRNA
Rfam family: Bacterial small subunit ribosomal RNA
Source: RNAcentral
CUGGCUCAGGAUGAACGCUAGCUACAGGCUUAACACAUGCAAGUCGAGGGGCAGCAUUGAGAUAGCUUGCUAUUCAGAUGGCGACCGGCGCACGGGUGAGUAACGCGUAUCCAACUUCCCCUUAGUAGGGGAUAGCCCGGUGAAAAUCGGAUUAAUACCCUAUGUUGUUCGAAGCAGACAUCUAAAUUGAACCAAAGGUUUACCGCUAAGGGAUGGGGAUGCGUCUGAUUAGGUAGUAGGCGGGGUAACGGCCCACCUAGCCGACGAUCAGUAGGGGUUCUGAGAGGAAGGUCCCCCACAUUGGAACUGAGACACGGUCCAAACUCCUACGGGAGGCAGCAGUGAGGAAUAUUGGUCAAUGGGCGCGAGCCUGAACCAGCCAAGUAAGCGUGCAGGACGACGGCCCUAUGGGUUGUAAACUGCUUUUAUACAGGGAUAAAGUCACCUACGUGUAGGUGUUUGUAGGUACUGUAUGAAUAAGGACCGGCUAAUUCCGUGCCAGCCGCCGC